ACCAGGAUGGCCGAGUGAUUAUGGUGUUGGACUUAAGAUCCUAUGGACAAAUUCCCUUAUGGGUUCAAAUCCCACUCCUGGUA
Molecule: transfer RNA, 83 nt
Filed under: Danio rerio (zebrafish)
Lineage: Eukaryota; Metazoa; Chordata; Actinopteri; Cypriniformes; Danionidae
Rfam family: tRNA
About the family: Transfer RNA (tRNA) molecules are approximately 80 nucleotides in length. Their secondary structure includes four short double-helical elements and three loops (D, anti-codon, and T loops). Further hydrogen bonds mediate the characteristic L-shaped molecular structure. tRNAs have two regions of fundamental functional importance: the anti-codon, which is responsible for specific mRNA codon recognition, and the 3' end, to which the tRNAs corresponding amino acid is attached (by aminoacyl-tRNA synthetases). tRNAs cope with the degeneracy of the genetic code in two manners: having more than one tRNA (with a specific anti-codon) for a particular amino acid; and 'wobble' base-pairing, i.e. permitting non-standard base-pairing at the 3rd anti-codon position.
Source: Rfam by way of RNAcentral